Molecule: non-coding RNA, 227 nt
Organism: Pelobates cultripes (western spadefoot toad)
Lineage: Eukaryota; Metazoa; Chordata; Amphibia; Anura; Pelobatidae
Source: the annotation of a GenBank genome assembly
GUUGUUAUGGUGACCAGAAUGUUCCUUUAAUUUGCUUAACCCCUUAAGGACACAUGACAUGUGUGACAUGUCAUGAUUCCCUUUUAUUCCAGAAGUUUGGUCCUUAAGGGGUUAAAGGAACACUAUAGUGUGAGGAAUACAAACAUAUAUUCCUGACACCAUAGUUGUAAAAAAGCUAUUCACCCUGGCUUUAUGUAAAAAUGACUAUGUUCCUUCCCAUUCAUGAC